UAAAAUCUCAAAUGGAAUACAUAUCUAUCAGUGAGUGCUAUUUUGGAUUGACGACACAUUUUUAAAUAACAUUAUGGUUCCCUAUAAUCACCAACAAUCCACCAGAGCUUGUGAUCUAUGCUAAGCAAAUCAGGAAAAAUGAAAUUAGAAUAUUCAAUUCACUUGUGUCACUUUUCAGUUAGCUAUAAGCAACGAAAUUGCACACAAUUCAGAGGAUAAAAUAAUAAUAAGUAGAUACCAGGUUGCUCAUUUACAUUCAACAAACCAAAUACUUGUUUUUAACAUUCCAACAAUUUCAGAGGUUAAACAAGGAAAUAACUUCAAACAGAUUUAGACUUUAGACAUAUUGAAUAUAGAAUCAGAACAAAUCCAAAACAUAAUAGUUUCAAAACUUAACAGAGAAAGUAAAUCGAAACAAAUCAAUAAUUACACAUAACAAAUCUAUGAAACGGGAAGCACAUAAACAAAUUAAAGUUUUCAUUUAAGAUUCAAACAAACUGAAAAUUACAAGAAAUAUUGCAAGAGUAUAACCUAAACAAAUCCAGCUUCAUUUAUAAUUUAACUAAAGCUAAACAAGGUGGCUAAAUGCACCUCUAGACAGCAGAACAGCAACAAAGAGUAAUCUGCACUUCAAAAGGCAGCUAUGCAACCCAGAAUAUGCCGUGACAGACUUAGAAACCACAAACAACCUUGGAAUCUUCCUUUUGUUUCGUUCUGAGCUUUGCCAAAUUCUAGAUUUUUGAAUUUCAGAAAAAGAGGGCAGAAUUUUCUUUUUGUAUCUAUGUGUGUCCAGGUCUAAGGAGAGGUGAGAGUUGUGUGUAUGAGCCUGGGUGUAGAUGGUAGAGGCGAGAGAUGAGCGCGAUGAGAGAUUGAUUUUUUUUUGAGGCGGCUACUAGGGUUCUCUGUAGAAGAGGGGUCUGUUCUCUUCUUCAU
This 933-nucleotide long non-coding RNA is filed under the name Nicotiana tabacum (common tobacco). RNAcentral describes it as "long non-coding RNA (NTAB_LNC010300)". The record is from RNAcentral. Lineage: Eukaryota; Viridiplantae; Streptophyta; Magnoliopsida; Solanales; Solanaceae.